Molecule: small RNA, 648 nt
Filed under: Pongo abelii (Sumatran orangutan)
Lineage: Eukaryota; Metazoa; Chordata; Mammalia; Primates; Hominidae
Description: retained intron
Source: RNAcentral
GAGAAACUGGAAGAAACCAAGCUCAUAGUAACUGAAAAUGCAGACCAUGAAAAACUCCAAGUUAAAAUCCAGGCUUUUGAAGACAAGAUAAAUGCAGAGAGCAAUACCCCUGGCUCUAUCAGAAGAUACAGUCUGGGCCAAGUUUCUAAAGAAGAAAGAAAAAACAUUAGAUUUAACAGGUCAAAAAGUUUGGCUUUGCACACUAUGCUCACAAAGGGUGUGGGUUCAGAUGACGGCGAAGAUGAAAACAGGGGAGACAUACCAGCCAGCAUCUCUCUUUCAGAAAUAGACCCACUUGGCCAAGGAAAUGACAAGCUGCCCUUUAAGACAGACACUGAGAGAUCACAGCUGGGGGAGUCUUCAGUUUCAUACCCAAAUAUUAUACAUAUAGACUCAGAGAAUUUGCCAGAAACUGUUAAAGAAAACUUCCAGGAAGAAACUCCAGAGACAACUGCAAGUCCUAUAGAAUACCAAGAUAAGCUCUACUUGCAUUUAAAAAAAAACCUCAGCAAAGUGAAAGCAUAUGCCUUGGAAAUUGGAAAGAAGAUUCCAGUCCCUGAUCAGUGUACCAUUGAAGGUAAGUGUUGUGUACUUCUGAAACCUGAGAAACUUCAGGAGUCACUGCAAAUAAACAAAAAGCUCAAAUCA